This 253-nucleotide ribosomal RNA is filed under the name uncultured bacterium. Its description in RNAcentral is "partial 16S ribosomal RNA". It matches the Rfam family "Bacterial small subunit ribosomal RNA", at positions 524 to 776 of the family's 1533-position model. The record is from RNAcentral.
UACGAAAGGGGCUAGCGUUGUUCGGAAUCACUGGGCGUAAAGCGCACGUAGGCGGCGCGUUAAGACAGGGGUGAAAUCCUGGAGCUCAACUCCAGAACUGCCCUUGAUACUGGUGUGCUCGAGUGUGGGAGAGGUUGGUGGAACUCCGAGUGUAGAGGUGAAAUUCGUAGAUAUUCGGAAGAACACCAGUGGCGAAGGCGGCCAACUGGCCCAUUACUGCCGCUGAGGUGCGAAAGCGUGGGUAGCAAACAGG